GGUCAAGCGAAUAAGCGCACACGGCGGAUGCCUUGGCGGUCAGAGGCGAUGAAGGACGUGGCAGCCUGCGAAACGUAUCGGGGAGCUGGCAACAAGCUUUGAUCCGGUAAUGUCCGAAUGGGGAAACCCACCCGCUUGCGGGUAUCCUGCAGUGAAUACAUAGCUGCUGGAAGCGAACCUGGUGAACUGAAAUAUCUAAGUAACCAGAGGAAAAGAAAUCAACCGAGAUUCCCUGAGUAGCGACGAGCGAACGGGGACUAGCCCUUAAGCUGGAAUGGUUCUAGAAAAACAGCCUGGAACGGCUGGCCAUAGAAGGUGAUAGCCCUGUAUUUAAAAGGGCCACUCCAGUGAAGACGAGUAGGGCGGGGCACGUGAAACCCUGUCUGAACAUGGGGGGACCAUCCUCCAAGGCUAAAUACUACUGACC
This 427-nucleotide ribosomal RNA is filed under the name Leclercia adecarboxylata. Its description in RNAcentral is "partial 23S ribosomal RNA". It matches the Rfam family "Bacterial large subunit ribosomal RNA", at positions 1 to 481 of the family's 2925-position model. Lineage: Bacteria; Pseudomonadati; Pseudomonadota; Gammaproteobacteria; Enterobacterales; Enterobacteriaceae. The record is from RNAcentral.